RNAcentral lists this long non-coding RNA (275 nucleotides) under Lathyrus oleraceus (garden pea). Its description in RNAcentral is "Pisum sativum (pea) long non-coding RNA (PSAT_LNC024645)". Lineage: Eukaryota; Viridiplantae; Streptophyta; Magnoliopsida; Fabales; Fabaceae. The record is from RNAcentral.
CAAAAUCCAUUGAGUUUGAUGAGACUUGAAGUCCAAACCAUCAUGAUCCAAGACCAACAGAACUUCACAAGGUCACACAAAUAUAAAGUGCAAUUAAAUGAAAUAAAAAUGCAUCAAAGAUAUUUUUAAAUGAUUUUUUAAAUAGAAAUAAAAUGGAAAUUUCAUAAAGUCUUUCAAAAUACCAAAUAAUGGCCGAGAAAAUUAUGGAAGGUUGGAAAUUAAAUAAGAAACAUAUAAUAAAAUUUUCUGAAUUUUAAAAUGCAGAAAAGUAUUUU